UGAAUCCACCGCCGCCCACCGUCACCCACCCCCACCGCCACCCACCGUCGCCCAUCCCCUCCGCCGACGACCCUCACCAUCGAGCCCACGCCCAGAUCCGCGCUCUCUAGUACUCGCCCGCAACCCUCACCCGUGGCUAGGGUUUCGGCCGCCACCCCUAAAUUCGUCGGGAUCUGCCACAUCCAGCGACAGCGAGGCCAGAGGUGGCCGGAUCUGGCACCGGUGGAUGGGAUGACGACGAUGGCAGGAGGGGCGAACCUCCAUGGGACGGGUCGCCACCAUGGAGAUGGAGCUCCUUCUCCCCUACCACGCAACCUCCCUCCCAGCGCCAAUAGAGCACCGGCUACCAUGACGCGACAGCGCUGUCGCAAGCCUCGCGGGGCUGUGCAUCUCGUCGUCUGCCACGCCCUACCAGGAGCUACAUCACCCACACGUCUCCUCUGAAGAAGGGGACGAUGGCUUGUGCGUCGGCGUGGUUGGCUCCAGCUCCCCGCCGACCUAUGACUCCACAUGCGUCGCCGUCUUCGACCACAGGUCCAUGUCCUCGAUCUGCUUCCUUUGCUUCCCCUAGGUUUCCGCGUAGAUCUGGCCGUUUGAUUUGAUGCGGAUGCGAAUUUGGUUCUCCAUCGCUGUAGGUUUCCUGUGCGUACUCGCGUUCGAAUUAGCAUUGAAUCCCUCAGUUUAUGCAGUUUCGUUGUGGUUGAUUGACACCCCUGUGAAGAUAAAAUUCAGGACCAACCGUUAGCUUUUUGUGAAGAAAAAGCUAUUGGUAAAAAAAUCGUAGGAAACCCCCAAAAGCCUCGCUCUGCUGUACAUUAUAUUACUUGGGUUACUGCAACCCUGCCUGCCUGCUACUGUGUUAGUCUGCAACGCAUACCAAGUUGAUUUCAGUGCAUUUUUUCCAUAAUUAGACUUAUGAAGCUCAAACUGACCAUAUCAGCACUAGUCUCACAUUUAGAUUUAAAAUGUUGACUGGAAAUGUGUGUAGUCGGUAUUUGUCUUGUAGCAUGGCCAGAUUCAGAGACUCAACUCGUUUCUUCUUUUGUUCCUACAAGACGAUUCAACUUAACUUUAAAAAGUAACAGUAAAUUUGGAUACUGCCAGACACAAGAGAAGACUGUUACAAUGAUAGUAUGUGCUACAUUUGAUCCCAGGUUGUACAACAUAUCUGUUACUGCAGGUCACCCAUCCUCGAGGAGCAGAAGGAGGGACGCUCUGCUCCUCUUCUUCCUUGACCAUCGGUACCACCAUGUUCCCGGGCUUCCAAGGUGCGCCAGCACACCGCCGCCAUGCCUCCUCUGCUCUCCGGGCUCGGACCAAUCGCUCGCCCCUUAAGGUCCGGCAGCACCGCCGCGUCGACGACGAAGGUGGUGACUGCGGCGGUGAGCGGCGCGAGUUGGUGGCUGCGGGACUCGGCGGCACGACUCUCGUCAGCGGCGACAAAGGCGGUUGUUAGGCGAGCCGAGCGUGCCUCCUCCCCGUCCCCAAAAUCGCGUCCCUUUAACGCGUUCCAUUUCGAACAGCCGGCGCAUCAGCGUUGUCGGAGCGCAUGAUAGACUACUAAAUGGACAAGUAUCUGCAACGUUCAGUGUCGAAGAUGAUGCUUACCAGAUGUUCUACUACAGCACCAUCCAUAUCAUCGACAUGAAGCUAGAUUUUGGCCUUCAUUCGUCAAAAGUUGGUGUACAAGGAAUUCCAGGAGAAGAAUCUUUAAGUAAAUAAUUUAUAUAGAUCAGGAUCUUAUGUUGUCGAGGUGGCUGCUGUUGUGACCAAAGAUCAGCCUGGAGAUGUGCAUCAUAGUUUUAGUUGAUGUUGCCACUAUGUUUUGUUGCAUGUGUAUUUGAGUGUAUGUACACUUGAUGGACCGUGUAGUCGUGUACGUGCUGUUUGAGUUUCAUUUAGUGAUUUCUGGAUUUGAUCAUUUAAUUCAGAAAAUUAUUUAUUGUUUGCUGUUGAAAUGUGUAAAAUUGAAAUCUUUGAUUGAAAAA
Long non-coding RNA from Aegilops tauschii subsp. strangulata, 1988 nucleotides. RefSeq lists it as uncharacterized. The record is from RefSeq and is a predicted model, not a curated record. Lineage: Eukaryota; Viridiplantae; Streptophyta; Magnoliopsida; Poales; Poaceae.